RNAcentral lists this transfer RNA (165 nucleotides) under Nanobdellota archaeon. Its description in RNAcentral is "tRNA-Gly". Lineage: Archaea; Nanobdellati; Nanobdellota. The record is from RNAcentral.
GCGCCGGUAGUAUAAUGGCCAGUAUCCCGGCCUUCCAAGCCGGCCAUCCGGGUUCGAAGCAGCCUUUUUACUUCGUAAAAAGCCUGGGGAAAAACGUGUGGCAUUCGCUUCGCUCAGCCCCACACACGGAAAAGAAAAAAGGCAAUGAAACUCCCGGCCGGCGCA